Molecule: ribosomal RNA, 253 nt
Filed under: uncultured bacterium
Lineage: Bacteria
Description: partial 16S ribosomal RNA
Rfam family: Bacterial small subunit ribosomal RNA
Source: RNAcentral
UACGGAGGGUGCGAGCGUUGUUCGGAUUCAUUGGGCGUAAAGGGUGCGUAGGCGGCGCGGUAAGUCGGGUGUGAAAUCUCGGAGCUUAACUCCGAAACUGCAUUCGAUACUGCCGUGCUUGAGGACUGGAGAGGAGACUGGAAUUUACGGUGUAGCGGUGAAAUGCGUAGAUAUCGUAAGGAAGACCAGUGGCGAAGGCGGGUCUCUGGACAGUUCCUGACGCUGAGGCACGAAGGUCAGGGGAGCAAACGGG